GUUGGUUAAUACAUGUGACAGCGAGAAUCCAUUUCUUACUACUUUGGCUUCUCUUUUGUGGCAGAGAUUGACCACAAAGAUGUACCAUUUGUUACUUUAAUGGAUGUUCUUACCUAUCGAGAGGUAUCAUAUUUUAUUAUUUUAUUUGGUAGCUCUCAAGUUUUCUGGUCCAACUAUCUGAGAAGUGGAAAAGAAUUAUAGAUUUGUCUUGUUAGAACUUAUCAAUGAGAAGUGGAAAAGAAACAUGAAGAGGGUAGGAAAAGUCAAUUUUUGUUGCUAUUUGGUAACUAGAAAGUAGUAUUUUAGUUUUGAAUAUUUAAUGGAGAGUUAAUAUUAUUGGAAAAGUAUGCUCUGAUUUUGGUGUUUUAGUUUUGAAUAUUUAAUGGAGAGUUACUAAGUUGUAGCAAGAAGUUGAAAAUUGGAUCAUAUUGUUUGGAGUAGAAAUACAUGUGUUUUAGUGUUUUUUUUCUUCAUGUAAACAAAAAAUCAUGGAUUCCCUGUACUUUUUAGCUUAAGAAAUUUGCUUGUCAUGUCUCAUUUUCUGUUUCUUGUGAACCUUUGUUAUUGACACCGAGUUAGAUGCAUUUUUUACUGACUCAGGUCAAAAGAACACUAGAAUUAAGGCACAGUAUUUAAGUUUACACAAUGUUACAAAGAACUUGAGAAAGUUCUAUGCACAAGCUUACUUGGGACAAUCACCGAAACAAGCUCCAAAGUAUUGGCUUCAUUUUCAAGUUUCUGUACUAUCGCUUGGUUGGAAUACUUACUUUGUCUCAAAGGCAUAUAGUACAGAAAAUGGGAUCAAUGGCAGAUGAAUUGGAUCCAUGUUGAACAAUUGGAUCCAUGUUGAACAAUCAUUGAUGAACACAAGAAAGGAAAGGGCAAAAGUCAGCCUUCUUUUUACAUGGGCGGAAGGCAAUGUUGCCAACCAGAGGGAACAUGUAAUUCUUCUCCUUGCCAAUAUUCACAUUCAGAAAGCUAAUAAGCAGUCUGUCUUGAAGAGUUAUACACAGUAUAUCCCUUUGCCAAUCAUUGACCUUGAUUCUUAGUUGAAGACACCCUCCAUAUAUGUUUUUGAUUGCUCUGCGGCUGGGGGAAUAUUGUGAAUGCUUUUAUUGAGCUUCAUGAUUGGGUUGCUUCUAGCUCCUCUGGAUCCACAAGGGAUUGCAUUCUACUUGGAGCUUGUGAAGCACAUGAGACUCUUCCACAAAGUGCUGAAUUUCCUGCAGAUGUGUUUACAUCUUGUCUCACAACACCUAUUAAGAUGGCUUUGAGAUGGAUCUUUCAGGCAAAGGACACCAAGUGAAUUAGAUAGAGAGGUUAAGAACUUGAGGGUGGCAUUUACUGACCUGUUUUUGAAGCAUAACACUUUCAAAGAAACUGCCAAGCCAUCGAGAUAUUGAUGCAAAGAAUGGAAGAAUGUAUUUCACUAAUUUUUGUUUACAUUUCUUGUUUUUUAUUUAGUGAUAAAGGAAUCUGUAUUGGGCAUAAAUUAUAUUGUAAUAUGAUUUCUUAAGCCUAGACUAGUAGACUAAAUAUUGUAAUUACAUUUGAGUAAUUAAUAAAAAUCUAUUUAUGUUA
This is a long non-coding RNA of Humulus lupulus (European hop), 1581 nucleotides long. RefSeq lists it as uncharacterized. The record is from RefSeq and is a predicted model, not a curated record. The transcript has 7 exons. Lineage: Eukaryota; Viridiplantae; Streptophyta; Magnoliopsida; Rosales; Cannabaceae.